RNAcentral lists this long non-coding RNA (6539 nucleotides) under Sus scrofa (pig). RNAcentral describes it as "lncRNA (ENSSSCG00015007035.1)". The record is from RNAcentral. Lineage: Eukaryota; Metazoa; Chordata; Mammalia; Artiodactyla; Suidae.
AGUCAACAUAAAUUUGGUGGUUUAUUUCCAGGAAUUUUAAAAUUGGUGUGUAUCAUAACUUUUAUAACAUUGCAGAUAAAAUUUAAUGCUGCUAUUUUUAAUGUGCAUUUCAAUAUAAAAUUUUUUAGCACAUAACAAUUCCUUACCAACAUAGUUUUUGAGAUCUGCCUGCUAAUGCAUGAAGUGACCAGAUCUUAAUUUAAUCACCCACUAAUUUUGGGGCAUAAGACUAUUUACAGCUUUUAACCAUUGGAACUGUUGUAAUCCCACAAAUUAUAUAAAACACAAGGAGUAUAACAUUACAAACUGUGGCACAUUCCUAGGUAUUUUUAAGGAAUAAUACAAAAGAAGCCUAUUCUGUGCUGUAAGUUACAAGUAUCCACAAAUAUCAUUGUUUGCAAUAAUGAAAAUACUAAACUGAAGUUCUAAAUUAUGUUCAUUGUUUGGUUGAUCUCUUGGUUCCAGUUUCAUUAAAGUAUUAAUACUUUCCCCAUAUUUGGCUAUUUUGUUGCAACAAAUGCAAAGUUCCUCUGUUAUGAAGCAGGCUUGAGAAAGGUUAAUGAUAAAUAUUAAGGGAAGACACAAAAAUUACUAUCAUCCAAUGCAAUAGUUUCAGGGCAUACUAAAAUUUCAGCAAAAAUUACAAAACAAAGUUAUAUUGAUCAGAAUGAGAAAAUAGAAGUAUCAAAAUAAUUUUAAAAUGUUUGUUUCAAAAAUUAUAAAGUGAAAAAAGUUAAAUUAUUUUUUUCGUGAUUUGAAAAUUCCAUUUACGCACACUUUUUCUUUCCACUAAUUUCAGGUAAAUCUCAAUCCCUGUAGGUAAAUUCUAGAUUUACAAAUACAUUUUUACAAAUGUAUUUACUUUUAAUUUUUUGUGCAUAAUUAAAAGUGAGACAUCUAAAAAUCAACUUUAACAAUUAUUAUAAUCCAUUUUGAUUUAUUUUAACUUCAAGGCAUAUGUAAAUGUAUUGAUAUAUUAUCAUGUAAUAUGUUACAUUUUGUAAUUUACAUUUUCACUUAGUAUUAUCAAUAAAAUAUUUCUCAAUUUCCUUAAUAAUCUUCAUAACUGAAAUGCUAGAUAGAAUAUAUAUCCAUCUUCCUGGUACGGUAAUCGUGGAGCUUCAUAAUACAUCCCUAAUUAGGUUUAAAACGUAUCUCCCUAUAUAAACUUCCUUCAGCUUGUGCUCUUAAGAUUCAUGUAACAUGGCAUUAACAUUUCCUACUUAGUGUUAUUGGUUCUAAUUUUCAUAGAAGACAAUUUUCUGCUAACAGCAUUAUCUCAAUUCUUAAAAUUUAAACAUUUAAUAUAAGCGGUAAAUAUAAGUUCAAAUGACUUCGAAAUGUCUUAAUUUCUUAAGAAGCUAAAAACUUUCUUAAUUCAGAAUAAGAAAACAUUUAGUAUUUCCAGUGGUGGGGCUUAGUUUUUUGACAGAAUGAACUGAGAGGCAUAACGAACAAAAGGCUGAGGACCCACAGCCAAUUAAAGGAUGGCCUCUGAUUAAUCUUCAUCAAGUUCAUUGAGUGACAGGCAUGCUUGUUGCCAUGGAUGCUAGCAAACUCACUCUAUUAUAAAAAAAAAUCUGUUUUUAAGUUACUGCUUGAUCCUCCAUGACUUCAGUGGCCCAAAGCAUCUCCUUUCUACAUCAAAACACUGAAAUAUUUGAUUACAGCCAGCACACACCUACUGCCUUCCCUUUUCCAAGAGUAAGCCCCCAUGGAUCCUUUGGCCAUUCCACCUCUGACCUGCUUUUCAGAUCCCACACCAUUCUCCUUGUCAGCGUCUGAACAGGCUCAGGUCUGAGGAAUGGGGCCAAGUGCUGAGCAGCAUAUGAGCUCUUUGCCCUCUGACCCACGCAGAGUUCAGGGGGGCCAACCCUGCCUUCACUGUGGGCUUCAGACUGUGCUCACAGCAUCAUGGAGUCUAGAGACAGAAGAUGCAGAUCCUGGGUCUCCCAGGGGUCAAUAUUUUAAUUGACACCUGACCCUUCAAUCUCUCUCACUCCCAGUUCUUUCCAAUUGUAAAAUGGGAAUAAUUGUCCUUGUAAUGCAGCAUUGUUGAGAGAUUAAGAGAAAUGAUAUCUACAAAAUACUCAGAGGUGUUUACUCAUACACAUCAGAGCUAAGAAACAUUUUAAUAAAGUAUUUUUCUUGAAUAUAAAGUGCUGAAAGAUUUUCAAUUAUUGGAAAUUUUUUGAGAUGCAUAAUAGAAUUUUUCUUUCAAUAUAUGCCAGGAGAUUUUUCAAGUANUUCUGGUCCCUCCCUUCCCCCUUCCUCUCCACUGGUUACCCUGGUUCUUUCUAGCACAUUGCAUCACGACAUCCCAUCCUGCCUCCCCACCUGGCACAGGGGUUCUAACUCUCCCCCAGCCUUUCCUUCAGGGGGUGGGUCCCUUUUGAUGACAACAGGGGACACGGGGCUCUGUGCCUCAUCCAAACUGAACACCAGGGCAUUGCUUUCUGAUUUCCUGUUCAUGGCUGUGGCUACACAAGCUUCGCUGUGACUGUGGCUGCAGACUGUCCGCCUUCCCUGGGGUCUCCUGGGCAGCCUGGUUUCUGGGCCCAGAAGGACCUUUCUGUGGUACAAACCUUGCUGAGGCCGCAGUUCCACAGGGGGCAAGAACGAAAGUUGUUGAGAGAGUUUGUUUUCCCUUUAAUUUCUCAAUGAAGCCAUCGAAUUUGAAAUUAUUUAAAAAAGACCCAUGAAUACUGCACUCACCUUUCAGAGCCAGAGCUGCUGAUGUGGAUUCUGAAGAGCUCUUAAUAGAGCAGAUGUUUCCCACUAUGUUUACAAGUGGCUGUGCACUGAACCUCUGGGAGUGUGAAAUGCUGACUGUCGCCCUUCCUCCAGGAGCCCAGUUACAGACCUUCAGCCAGGGCGAGGGUGGGUGUCUGUGUGUGUGGUGGGAGGGAAGGAGGGCUCUCAUAGAACAGGGCAAGUCCCCUGGGCUUUUGGUGCUUCCCCUGUGAGAAGAGGAUUCCUGAGUUUGUUCCACAGAAAUGGCUUGUAGACUUGUGGCUCAUUAAAGUGGCUUCAGUGGACGGUCCAGGUUCUAACAAAAGGUGUAUUUGCAAAGAUGGAUGGACACUUUGUCGAGAGACUUGGAGAAAGAGUUCUUGGACUAGAAAGUUGUCUGGAGUUUGGGACCAACGUCAGUGUUAUCUGUGCUCUGAUUUUACCUGUGUAAACAAAAGAGUUCCUUUCACUGAGGACAUCAGGUAGUGGGGAAAGCCAAGGAGUAAAAGGAGUCAGGAAGCAGACACGAAGCACAGUCCCCUGUCACUCAAAGGGUGUCCCAAGGAUGGGUGCUGGUUCUCAAAGUGUUUGUCAUCAGUCUGGUAUGCAGCAAAAACAGAAACUGGAAGGAGCUCUUAAGCACUGUUACAGAAUUUUGAGAAUGUCAGUUGGCUUCAAUAAUUUAAAAAUUGUAUUCAUGCUUUUGUAUUUUAGUUUUCCUUAUUUAACCUUUUCUGUAGUCCUAGUUUUAUUAUCUUUCUACAAAGUAUCGAUCCCCUGGGCUUGGAAAAAAGUAAUCCUUUGUUUAAAGAGUUUGAGGAAACUAAGCGUGGCCUUUCUGUUCAGGAAACCUAGAUUCAGUUUUAGGUGUGUGAGUUCAGGAAAAUUGUUUAGCAUUUUUGAGACUCAAUUUCAUGAUCUGUAAAUUAGGUUCAUAAUCCUAUUUAUAGGCUGGUCAUGAGAUUCAAGUGGAUUAGCAUAAAGUCAUCUGGAAAAGGUAUCCGGAGUUAGUGAUGUGUUUCAAACGUGAGACAAAUAGGAGAAAGUGCCUGGAUGUGUCGUCUCUGAUCAACACUCACCAGACGCAUUCAUCCGAGUUGGAAGGAGCCCUGUCACCUUCUGCAAAAUAUUCUAUUUCCUCCUCAGUCCCCAAUCCUUCACUUUUGAUGUUCAUGACGUUCCAGCUACGGCCCCUGCUGUCUGCCCCAUUGAGCUCCCUGCUAUUCCUCAUGCCCUGAGGACUUGCGCUCCUGCAUCCCACAUCGUCUCUCCAUCUCUACCUUUGUCACCAGCAAGGACAACCUCUAACCAUUUGAGUAUCUCCACGGACAAUUUAACCUCUAGCUUCUUUCUUGUUUUACUUUGACUCAAAUAUAUUUUAUUUAUCUACACUCAGGAAAGCUUCUAUCAUAUUCAUUAUCUUAGAUCUCACUAAUUUUCAUUUUUGUCCCACAAUUUUAUAUAUAUAUAUGUAAAAGCUCAGUGUUAAAGUUUGAUUAGCAAAUAGUCCACCAGAAACACACCUAUAGUCCAACAUACCUGAGUUUAUUGGGUCGGUGUAGCGAGGGAGGGCUCUCCAAAGACCAUCACACACCUCUCAGCAUUGGAGAGAAGAUGCAUGGCUUUUGUUGUUGUUGUUAUUAUUAUUAUUGACCACACUUGGGGCCUUAAAACCUAUGCUACAGCUGCUGCUAGAUCGUCAACCCUCUGCACCCGAGUAGGAACUCUCAUGCUUUUUGAAAGGACUGCAUUCUUACUGAAGGCUGCUGAGUAGGAGUUAGGGGUUGUGGGUUUAGUUGUGGAAUGGUUGCUGUUCCUGUGGUGAGACUGUGGGAGUGGUUUAUCCAAAACUGAAUGCUGUCGUGAAAUAAUGGUAAUUUAGCAAUCGAGUAUCUCCUGCUGUAGAUAAGAAUAGUAUUUUAGGCUUGAGUACCUUGUUGAUAAGAAAGCAGUAGUUAUUGAAAAAUUAGAUCACUGUGGCAUUUUUACAUGGAAAUGUAGCACAAACUUGGAAGAAACAACAUUUUCUACUAACUUUGAUUCUAGGUUACUCUGUGUUCAUUUUUCCAGCCUGAACAAUGACAGGGAUGUUUUUCAGUCUCAAAAAAUAUGUUCUUCUGGAAAAUAUUUAUUUCUCAUUAUUUACCUAAUGUAAUGAUAUAAAAUUUUAUACUAUCUAUCUUUAACCAUCUUAAUACCUACAGAAUGUACAGUUAUGCCCCAUUUUGUGUGUCUUAUUUGGAUAAUUGCUAUUUUACCUUUUUAGUGAUUAUUACUCCUAUUGUUUCAUUUUGUUUUGUUUUACUUUUACUAAUCCUUUCAGUGUAGUUACGCAUUUCUUUCUUUACUCUAUGGGAGAAAUUUUCUAUUUAAUUUAUGUUUCUUUUUUAUUUUAGAUGAUUUUUAUUUUUUCCAUUCUAGCUGGUUUACAAAUGUUCUGUCAAUUUUCUACUGCACAGCAGGGUGACCCAGUCACAUAUACAUACAUACAUUCUUCUUCUCACAUUAUCCUCCAUCAUGCUCCAUCCUAAGUGACUAGAUAGAGUUCCCAGGGCUACACAGCAGGAUCUCAUUGCUUAUCCAUUCCAGAGGCAAUAGUUUGCAUCUGUUGACUCCCAGCUCCCAGUCCAUUCCUUUCCAAGCUUCUUGAGAUUAAAACUUAUGCUUUUGUUUCCAGCCUUUCCUUGAGGUUGGCUUCCAACCUAUUACCUUGAUGAGUUCCAGUCUUUUUUGUCAGUGUUUGUUCAACAGUUAGUUGUGAUUUUGUGUUUAUGUGAGAGGAAGUGAGUUCAAGUCCUUCUACUCUGCCAUCUUCUCUCUGACCCCUUUCCAAAGCUGGAAGGACUGGAAAUUUUCAUGGGACCCGGUACUCAGGUAGGGAUUCCCAAACAGUAAUUGAUGAGUUGCUGGAGGCUCAGUGUGGAAAACCCUUUUCUACCAUUUCCUUUGUGCUUCAUUAUUUUAACUCGUUUAUAGGGUGCCGGGUGCAGAGUUCUUGCCCCUGGUACUUAGACCAGAAUUCUCACUAUGAGAUGGCUGCUCCUGACACCUCAGCUGAGCCAGCCUUGUGACAAGAAUUGUGCACAUACUGAUUCAAACUGGCAGCAGGCCAUUUUCCAACCUAUUGUCUUGAGUUUGGGCUCUAUAUAUCCUUUUUUAUGUGCCAGUUACUUUGAAUGAUGUUCUGGAGAUUGUGGAGGAUAUGUUAUAGAAAGUCUGGAUUGUCUUAUAGCAUUCUCAACAUAGUCACUGCUUGAAUAUACCACCGUUUCUUCACCUGUUCAUUCAAUAAUGGACCUUUAGGCAUUUCCUAGUUUUUGGCAAUUGUGAAUAAAGCUUCUGUGAAUAUCUCCAUGCAAGUCUUUGUGUGGAUAUGUUUUUAUUUCUCUUGGACAAAAAUUUUAGGAUUGUAAUCACCUGGUGUAUGGUUAGCAUUUGUUUCCUAAAACGUGCAAAAUUGUUUUUCAAAUGGCUGCACCAUUUUGCAUUCCAACCAGUAUUUUAUUCAGUUCUGUUUGCUUUGUGUCCUUUCUAGCACUUGGUAUUGUCAGUUAAAAAAAACAAAACAAAACAACUCUUCUGGAGUUCCUGUCAUGGCUCAGUGCAAGCAAAUCUAACUAGUAUCCAUGAGGACACAUUUUGAUCCCUGACUUUGCUCAGUGGGUCUGAGCAUUGCUGUGAACUGUGGUGUAGGUCACAGACACAGUUUAGAUCCUGUGUUGCUGUGGCUAUGAUUUGACCCCUAACCUGGGAACCUCCAUAUGCUGCAGGUGUGGUCCUAAAAGGCAAAAAAAAAAAAAAAAAAA